Long non-coding RNA from Octopus sinensis (East Asian common octopus), 173 nucleotides. RefSeq lists it as uncharacterized. The record is from RefSeq and is a predicted model, not a curated record. The transcript has 2 exons. Lineage: Eukaryota; Metazoa; Mollusca; Cephalopoda; Octopoda; Octopodidae.
AACACUUUCCUCUCUGGUAAAUCUCUCAUCAACUUCUUCAAGUAUUACUUGAAGAGGAAGGUGAGAGUAGAGAGAGAAGUUUUGUCUAGUAAAUGUUUCAAAAAAUGAUGGGUGAACGUAGCAAGGAUGCCACGUGUGAAUGACGGAGCCAGCUUGAGCAUAAUAUUAUGAAC